GUCCAUUUGAAGAUAUAAAUGGUCUGGCCUGCCCACUGAUAUAUAAAUGUUAAAGGGCCGCGGUAUUCUGACCGUGCAAAGGUAGCAUAAUCAUUAGUUCUUUAAUUGGGAGCUUGUAUGAAAGGUCUGACAAAGGAAUAACUGUCUUUAUUGUAAAAUUUGAAUUUAACUUUUAAGUGAAAAGGCUUAAAUAAUUCAGGGGGACGAUAAGACCCUAUAAAGCUUUAUAUAUUAAUCUAAAUCAAUUGAAUUAAUUAAUAAAAAUUUAUGUUGAUUGUUAUAUUUUAUUGGGGCGAUAUAAAUAUAAAUUAUAUUAACUAUUUAAUAAAAGUACAAUAGAUAAAUGAGUAGUGUAAAGUAAAUAGAUCCUUUAUUUAAAGAUUAGAAGAUUAAGUUACUUUAGGGAUAACAGCGUAAUUUUUUUUAAGAGUUCAUAUCGAAAAAAAAGUUUGCGACCUCGAUGUUGAAUUAAAAUGUCUAUAUGGAGCAGUCAAUAUAUAAGAGGGUCUGUUCGACCUUUGAAUUUUU
Molecule: ribosomal RNA, 528 nt
Filed under: Calocarcinus africanus
Lineage: Eukaryota; Metazoa; Arthropoda; Malacostraca; Decapoda; Trapeziidae
Description: partial 16S ribosomal RNA
Rfam family: Bacterial large subunit ribosomal RNA
Source: RNAcentral